This 440-nucleotide ribosomal RNA is filed under the name uncultured bacterium. Its description in RNAcentral is "partial 16S ribosomal RNA". It matches the Rfam family "Bacterial small subunit ribosomal RNA", at positions 338 to 795 of the family's 1533-position model. The record is from RNAcentral.
CCUACGGGCGGCAGCAGUGGGGAAUAUUGCACAAUGGGGGAAACCCUGAUGCAGCGACGCCGCGUGAGUGAAGAAGUAAUUCGUUAUGUAACGCUCUAUCUGUAGGGAAGAAAAUGACGGUACCUGAGUAAGAAGCCCCGGCUAACUACGUGCCAGAAGCCGCGGUAAUACGUAGGGGGCAAGCGUUAUCCGGAUUUACUGGGUGUAAAGGGAGCGUAGACGGCAGUGCAAGUCAGAGGUGAAAGGCGGGGGCUCAACCCCAGGACUGCUCUGGAAACUGUACGGCUAGAGUGCAGGUGAGGUAGGUGGAAUUCCUAGUGUAGCGGUGAAAUGCUUAGAUAUUAGGAGGAACACCAGUUGCGAAGGCAGCUUACUGGACUGUAACUGACGUUGAGGCUCGAAAGCGUGGGGAGCAAACAGGAUUAGAUACCCCAGUAGUC